UCAUAAUGUACAACUAGAGUCAGUUCUGGGGAUAGCGAGAUGAACUAUUUGCUUGAAGUCUCCAAUUUUUUAGAAGUUAAUAUACAUACGAAAUUACUAACCAAAUAUUUUGUUAUGCUUUUUAAUAAACGGUCUAAAACCCCUCAAAAUCUCAGUACCGACUAUACAAAUGUAACUAAUGGUGUUUUGCAGGUUUUUAGAUAGAGCUUCACUAAAAACAGGAACAACCGGCCAGUGGGAUCUUUGUACAACCACAGAAGUCGAAGAAACAAAACAAAUGCUAAAUAUGCUACCUACCAUGGGCAUAACUUUUGUCCCAAGCGCUAUGAUCGCUCAAAUUAACACUUUGUUUGUCAAACAAGGAACGACUCUAAACACAAUGAUUGUCGGAAACUUCAGCAUCCCACCAGCGAGUCUCUCCGCCUUUGGGACAGUCUCUUUCCUCGUCUCCAUUGUCAUAUAUGAUCGAGUCUUAGUCAAGAUAGCCCAAAAAUUAACCGGGAAUCCAAGGGGCAUUACUUUGCUUCAACGGAUGGGAAUUGGUCUUAUCUUCUACAUCAUCGUCAUGACCGUCGCAUCUUUCACCGAAAGGUAUUAAGAUUUUAAAUAAAAUAAUUACUUUGCAUAAAUCUUUCAUAAGUAGGGCUUAUAUCAACUGAAUUCACACGGCCUGACCCGAGUUUUAGAAAAUCAUAGACACUUCUAUGUUAAUUUUAAAUCAAAAAAUCUGGACAGUUUGAAGUCAUGCAACCUAUAAUACGUCUUUAAAAUCUAGAAGUGAAGUUAGAUUUAUAUUUUCUUGUAUUGAUAGUGAACUUCACAGUUUCGUACUUGGCAUAUUUGUUACAGGUAUAGACUCAAAGUCGCUGCUGAUCAUGGACUCAUUCACCAAACGGGAGUAAAACUACAACGGGAAGCCCUUUCUUGACGAUGGCUCGAGUCAUUGUGGCUUCAUUUCGGAAAGCUAAAGCACCAACGCCCCGUGACCCAACACGCUUCCACGAACCGUCUUCACUGGAGUAUGAGCGGAAAGGCACCUUUCCGAUCCACUCCACUCAAAGUUUAAGGUAGUGAUUUUAGUAUAUCCUAAGUAUGUCAUAAUGUACAACUAGAGUCAGUUCUGGGGAUAGCGAGAUGAACUAUUUGCUUGAAGUCUCCAAUUUUUUAGAAGUUAAUAUACAUACGAAAUUACUAACCAAAUAUUUUGUUAUGCUUUUUAAUAAACGGUCUAAAACCCCUCAAAAUCUCAGUACCGACUAUACAAAUGUAACUAAUGGUGUUUUGCAGGUUUUUAGAUAGAGCUUCACUAAAAACAGGAACAACCGGCCAGUGGGAUCUUUGUACAACCACAGAAGUCGAAGAAACAAAACAAAUGCUAAAUAUGCUACCUACCAUGGGCAUAACUUUUGUCCCAAGCGCUAUGAUCGCUCAAAUUAACACUUUGUUUGUCAAACAAGGAACGACUCUAAACACAAUGAUUGUCGGAAACUUCAGCAUCCCACCAGCGAGUCUCUCCGCCUUUGGGACAGUCUCUUUCCUCGUCUCCAUUGUCAUAUAUGAUCGAGUCUUAGUCAAGAUAGCCCAAAAAUUAACCGGGAAUCCAAGGGGCAUUACUUUGCUUCAACGGAUGGGAA
Molecule: long non-coding RNA, 1634 nt
Filed under: Brassica napus (rape)
Lineage: Eukaryota; Viridiplantae; Streptophyta; Magnoliopsida; Brassicales; Brassicaceae
Description: long non-coding RNA (BNAP_LNC000249)
Source: RNAcentral